Long non-coding RNA from Monomorium pharaonis (pharaoh ant), 2166 nucleotides. RefSeq lists it as uncharacterized. NCBI's taxonomy places the organism in Eukaryota, Metazoa, Arthropoda, Insecta, Hymenoptera, Formicidae. The record is from RefSeq and is a predicted model, not a curated record. The transcript has 3 exons.
GCAAAGAAUCAGGUAAAAAAUAGUAUAAGUGAUUAAGAAUGUUCUGGGUAUAGUCUCUGUCAAGAAUUAAAUUGGAUUGGAAAAUGUGUUAACAUUUAUAUUUUUUAAAUACAUUAUAAAAAUAUUUUAUACCAAUAUUGUAUAUAAAUAUACAUUUUAUAUAUAAAUAAAAAUAUAUAUGUUGCGUGCACCGCCCGGUAUACUCCUUGGAUCGCGACUCGGCUGUCCGAUCGGCGAUAUCGAUCGACAGCGGCGGUCAGCUGUCAAAAGCUUAACGACCGAUGUCAACAACCAGUUGAAUCUCGGCUCCGCGCUCGCGUUGACGUAUUUGUAAUUGCUCUAAUAAAGCUGCUAGUUUGUGUUAAAGAAGUCUCUUUCAUUUCCGCGGCGCGCUCGCAACAAUAUGUUAGAAGAUCAAACCGCAAUAAUUAAGAGCGUAGCAUACGAUUCUAAAAGUAACAGAAUGAUUGGUUUUGUAUCUGCAUGUAGCAAAGAUAAUGGAUUUCCUAAAAAUAAUUUUUAUGUAAAUUCCGUAUAAGAUAUUGAAAAUGCUUUUUCUAAAUAUGUUAUUGGUUGCAAUGCAUAUGUGUACAUGGCUCAACCGCUUGUUGAUAACGCACCAGGAUUUUGUCUAACAGUUUUUGCAAGCGAUAACAAAUUCAAUCACAAUGAUGUCUUAGCUAGAUGGACAUUUUAAAAAAAUAAACUUGAAAGACUCAAUAUUCAAAUAACUGGAUUUUCAAGUGAUGGUGAUACAAGAUGCUUAAAAACCAUGAGAAUAUGGUCCAAAAUUCCUUUAUCAUCUAAAAAUCCAUAUUCUCCUUACUUUCAGGUAAAUAAUUUAAUUACUUCUAUUUUCUAGAUCAAGUUACUAAUUUAACAAUGUUGUCAACAGAAUCAGAGCCAAUUAAAUUUCUACUUUAAAUAAUUGCAAAUAUAUGUAUAUGUAUAUGUAAUUGCAAAUAUAUUAUUUUAUAAUGGCUUGAAACCCAAAAGAAUAUUUUUUCAUAUUAAUAAUAUUACUAAUUUAAUAAUUUUGAUUAAAAAAUGAUGUAAAAAAACUGCAAAUCUUUAAUUAUUUUUAGAUGGAAUUUGAUAUAAAAAACCAGUAUGUAUUCAAGAUACAGUUCACAUUGGAACAAAAUUAAAAACAAGAUUUUUGAAACUCAAUGUACUUUUACCGAUGGGUUCACAGAUUGUUUCUCCAGAACAUGUAAAAAAAUUAAUGAAGCAGUUCUCUAAAGACAAACAUUUAUUAUGUGACAGUGAUCUUGAACGUAUGUUUAGUUUAAUUAAUAUCUGAAGUAUUAUACAUCUGAAGUAUUGCAUAAUUUUUAAAUGAAAUAAAUACUGAUUUAAAAGGUACAUUUCGAUUUCCACAAGAAGAAAAUAAUCGCUUAGGAAUUUCUUCGGAUACAAUUUUAAAUUCUGAUAAAACUCCAUCUACAGAAAAAAUUUUAAAUAUUUUGAACACUGCUAAAAAUGAUGCAAUAAAUAUUGCAAGAGAAUUGGGAAUGAAUAUGAGUGAAGAAAAAAUAAAGGAAAGUUUCGAAAAGAUUAUAAUUCGAUGUUUUACUGAUGAAGAGGAAAAUGAAAAAAUAGAGAAAAAUGACGAUGACAACGAACGACAAAAUGAAGAUAUUGAAUCUACUGAAGAUUUUGAAGAUGAUUUCGAAAAUUUGCGAAAUGAUAUUUCAAUUUUUAAAAAUCAAACAGAUUUAAAUUUAAAAAUUAUACAACUAACUGCACAGAAAACAAUAAAGGUUUAUUUUUAAAUGUAAUUAUUAAUAAAAAAAAAUAUGUUGUAAGAAAAUCAUCGCUUUGUUGGUUAUAUCAAAAUAAAAGUAAAUUGUCUAGUGAUAGAUUGUAUCGAGUUUGUGGUAUGAAUGUUACAAAUACAAAUAGAAAAAUAACGAAAGAAUUGAAGAUAGAAUGCGAAAAAUAUUAUUGCGUUUAUUAUGAUACAGGAUGGUACAUAGGAAGAGUGUUACGUAUAGAAAAAAAUACAUGUAAAAUUAAAUUUUUAUCUGCUAAUUUAAAUGAGUUUAGAUGGCCAAAGAAGGAUGACAUUCAAGAAGUAGAUAAAGAAUUUAUAAUGUAUGGGCCGAUAUAUCUUUAAAUGGGAUAAAUCCUUUUACAAUUAGUAAAGAAAUACGUUCAAAUAUC